Molecule: small nuclear RNA, 107 nt
Organism: Pongo abelii (Sumatran orangutan)
Lineage: Eukaryota; Metazoa; Chordata; Mammalia; Primates; Hominidae
Source: Ensembl
GUUCUCACUUCAGCAGCACAUAUACUAAAACACAAACAGUACAGAAAAUACUAUCAUGGCCUCUGUAUAAGGAUGACAUACAAAUGCAUGAAGUGUUCCAGAUCUUU